GACGAACGCUGUUCGGCGUGCCUAAUACAUGCAAGUAGAACGCUGAAGAGAGGAGCUUGCUCUUCUUGGAUGAGUUGCGAACGGGUGAGUAACGCGUAGGUAACCUGCCUUGUAGCGGGGGAUAACUAUUGGAAACGAUAGCUAAUACCGCAUAACAAUGGAUGACACAUGUCAUUUAUUUGAAAGGGGCAAUUGCUCCACUACAAGAUGGACCUGCGUUGUAUUAGCUAGUAGGUGAGGUAAUGGCUCACCUAGGCGACGAUACAUAGCCGACCUGAGAGGGUGAUCGGCCACACUGGGACUGAGACACGGCCCAGACUCCUACGGGAGGCAGCAGUAGGGAAUCUUCGGCAAUGGGGGCAACCCUGACCGAGCAACGCCGCGUGAGUGAAGAAGGUUUUCGGAUCGUAAAGCUCUGUUGUAAGUCAAGAACGGGUGUGAGAGUGGAAAGUUCACACUGUGACGGUAGCUUACCAGAAAGGGACGGCUAACUACGUGCCAGCAGCCGCGGUAAUACGUAGGUCCCGAGCGUUGUCCGGAUUUAUUGGGCGUAAAGCGAGCGCAGGCGGUUUGAUAAGUCUGAAGUUAAAGGCUGUGGCUCAACCAUAGUUCGCUUUGGAAACUGUCAAACUUGAGUGCAGAAGGGGAGAGUGGAAUUCCAUGUGUAGCGGUGAAAUGCGUAGAUAUAUGGAGGAACACCGGUGGCGAAAGCGGCUCUCUGGUCUGUAACUGACGCUGAGGCUCGAAAGCGUGGGGAGCGAACAGGAUUAGAUACCCUGGUAGUCCACGCCGUAAACGAUGAGUGCUAGGUGUUGGAUCCUUUCCGGGAUUCAGUGCCGCAGCUAACGCAUUAAGCACUCCGCCUGGGGAGUACGACCGCAAGGUUGAAACUCAAAGGAAUUGACGGGGGCCCGCACAAGCGGUGGAGCAUGUGGUUUAAUUCGAAGCAACGCGAAGAACCUUACCAGGUCUUGACAUCCCGAUGCUAUUUCUAGAGAUAGAAAGUUACUUCGGUACAUCGGUGACAGGUGGUGCAUGGUUGUCGUCAGCUCGUGUCGUGAGAUGUUGGGUUAAGUCCCGCAACGAGCGCAACCCCUAUUGUUAGUUGCCAUCAUUCAGUUGGGCACUCUAGCGAGACUGCCGGUAAUAAACCGGAGGAAGGUGGGGAUGACGUCAAAUCAUCAUGCCCCUUAUGACCUGGGCUACACACGUGCUACAAUGGUUGGUACAACGAGUUGCGAGUCGGUGACGGCGAGCCAAUCUCUUAAAGCCAAUCUCAGUUCGGAUUGUAGGCUGCAACUCGCCUACAUGAAGUCGGAAUCGCUAGUAAUCGCGGAUCAGCACGCCGCGGUGAAUACGUUCCCGGGCAU
Molecule: ribosomal RNA, 1370 nt
Filed under: uncultured bacterium
Lineage: Bacteria
Description: bacterial SSU rRNA
Rfam family: Bacterial small subunit ribosomal RNA
Source: RNAcentral